Triticum aestivum (bread wheat) is the source of this 3032-nucleotide long non-coding RNA. RefSeq lists it as uncharacterized. The transcript is spliced from 3 exons. The record is from RefSeq and is a predicted model, not a curated record. Lineage: Eukaryota; Viridiplantae; Streptophyta; Magnoliopsida; Poales; Poaceae.
UUCAAUUUUUGCUAGAGGCAUCUGGUUGUUUCAUUCCUGAAACCUGAUCAAUGUAUCACAAGAUUGUUAAUGCUCCCCCUCUCGACAUUCAGCCAAAUUCCCAUACAAGGAUUGGAGAAUGCUGUGAACUUCGGCAAGGACUGCACGGCCACACCAUGUCAAGGGGGGAGAUAAACCACAUGGAUCACAGUUUGAUCCACAGUGCUUGAGGUUCCGAUGGAGCCUUUCCAUUACCCAGUGAGCGCGUCUAUUGCCGGAAUGGAGCAGCAUCAGCCACUCGCCGAUUCGUGUGCGGGCCUGCGGGGGCGGAGGUGGGAGAUCAUAGGGAGGGUGCACCACAAGCUUCCGAACAAUCGGUAGGCGAGAUGGACCUGCUCCAGGAUGGAGCCGCAGGUAUGUUCGUACUCAUCGCUGGAGUUGUAAAAUUAAUGUUGCAAAUCUGAAAAAACUCUGUUCGUAUGUGUGUGCUUGUCAUUAAUAGACUAGAGAACAGGUGGGAUAUCAGAUGAGUCAUGCGUGUGAGGUUUUACAGAUCUAGUGCUUCGUACAUUAUUGAAUGAUUCGUUCAGCACCUCGUUUUUGCAACACAGACAUUCUCUCUUUCAGCCUGAUUACACCAUAAAUUGUGAACUGUAAGAAAGAAGGUCUCUCACGCAAAAUUGAUGGUGGAAUCUGAAGAAUCUGAGCUUGUAUGUGUGUGGUUGCUUGAAAGUACAAGACUACAGUAGAGGGAUUCACCAGAUGAUUGUGAACUGAAUGAUUUGUUUGGCACCUCACAUAUUGUUACACUAUAAAUUUUGAACUGUAGGAAAGAAUUUCUCUGUUGCAAAAUCCAUGUGUCCAAAUCUGAAGAUUCGGUGUUUAUAUGUGUGCGAUUGCUUGUAAUUUUGACACUACGGUCACUAUGUGUGUGGUUGCUUGUAAUUUUGACACUACAGUACUGGGUGAUUGAUCAGACGUUUUACAGAUUGACUGCUUGUCUAGAGUUGAAUGAUUCGAUUAGUAGCUCGCAUUGGUUAAAAAAAAAUAUAGAAGAUUAGAGCCCUCAUUUUGAUAGUUCAUGGAAAAUUUGGUUACAGCAGAAAAUGUGACAUGUAAGAUAGAAUCUCGCUGUUAAGAACUUAAGAUUCAUGUUGCACUGCAAUUUGUUUUGGAUUACAGUUAGUAAGCCUUAUGGAAGUUGUAAACAUUAAUGAACUUUUAUAAAGCACCUAUCCAUAAGGGAAUGGGAGAGAUUAAUUCCAGCAGUGUCACUGAAGGUGUGUUUGUUGUAGGUACCAGAAUGAGACAUGGUUCCUGUAUUUGCAAAGAAAAUGUUUCAUGUGCGUGGGAUUCCAUUUCAGAUCUAAAAUCACAAAGGAAAAUAGGGUUGCAGUCUUGCAGAAGUACUCGAAUGCCAAGGGAAACAAUAACAUAUAGAUUAGAUAAAUUAGUUGAUCAAAGACAGAAUGUUACAUUAGCUGUACUGUGUCGGUGCCGGAUGCAAGCUGAGUAUUUCCAAAGGUAUGAUCGAUGAAGAAGAACCGGCGAGUGAGUAGACAAGUGAGUGCGGAAUGCAAAUGGAGAAGGUGGAGACGAUUAGGGAAGGGUACUUGUUAGAAGGAAGGCAAGGCAGGAAUGACAGACAUAUAUGUUGCCGCAUCUAUUGCAUCUGCUGAACAGGUAGGAGCUCCUUACUCAGUGCAUGGGUAUGUCGACUUACGACCAUUCAAAACGUGCCUCAUGGGGUCUUGUCCUCCCUGGUCCGUGGACCAGGAAACAUGCUUUCCAUUUAUUGCAACCUAAACUGAGUAAAUUGCUGGUAUGGUGCCCGGUGGAGUUGUCUUCUUCCUCGGGUGCCUGGAUCUUUCCAUUGGCGAGAGUGGUGACCUUGGCAGUGGACCUCCUGCGCGAGCGAGCUGGAGUUCUUGAUACAGCCGAUUAAGAGAACAAUGGUGUUGGAGCCUGGAGAGGUUAAUGACCGCGAAAUUCCAAUGGAGCCGCUGCACUACCCGGUCGUCGAGCACCUGGCACCUAUGAGGGGGUUUAGUGCAGACGGAUAGAUCUGUGCGGAGGAGGGGGCGGCAGAUGCUCAAAUUGAAGAUUUACCUCAAGUAUCUGUGCAAUCUAUUGGCCAGAUCGACCCUAAAGCUCCUGGAUGGACGUAAAGGUAUGUCACUAUUCGGAAGUACACUCUUUGGAAAGUCAGCAUGCUACUCUUUGUACAAAUAGAUACAUGCUAGAAAUUCUCAGUGAACAAAAUCAUAUGUAGCUUUCUACAUUGCAAAUGUGUUUCAGCCUGAACAAAUUAUCGUAUUAGUAUAUAACAGGUGUAGAGCUACUUUGCAUUGAACAAAUUGUCGUCGUACUAAAAAGAUCAUGAAGAGAUUGCUGUUUGUGCCUUGACAGUGGGCUGCAUUGUAAACCCAGGAUGAUGUGUGCAUUGCCUGAUGUGUUACUAAUGAUCUGGUAAAAAAUUGAGCAGUUUUGACUCAGAAAGGAUGAUUCCCGGCGGCGAGAGACGCUGACCUUGCUCAUUGUCCAUGCAUUGAAUUUUAGGUUUAAUUUCUGCAGCGUGGGAAGCUGAAGCAUACCACCAAAAUCAAUUUCUGUAACCAGCCACUUCUUGAAUUGGUCCAACGGCUGAAUAACUUUGACAGCAUGCUUAACGGAGAUUCAGGGGCAGUGAUUCCUUCAUUGUUGAUCGGUACACCAUUAUCAGAAAAUGAUGGAUGUGGGUUGCGAUCGAUAACUGGGUCAGCAAAUCCAUCGCCAUCUCAACCCCGAGAGUCCAACAUGAUCACUGUGAAUCAUAACAAAAAGGAGAUCUCAGACUAAAUGUCUCUGCGCAUCGCUCCGAUAGUGAUUAGGAAUCAGUAUAAGUAAAAUUAGUUUGUGGUCUAAAGCCACGUAUUGUGCCAUUUGCUGGGUCACCUGCGGCAGUUUCAAAAUCUCUAGUAUAAUUACUGAAUGGUGUACUUCAGAAUUAGUUCUGACAUAUGCAUAUGCAUUGCCAAAAUUAGUUCGUACAGAAGAUCUGCCAAUUGGACGAA